Molecule: ribosomal RNA, 732 nt
Filed under: Polaromonas sp. MJ_9_8
Lineage: Bacteria; Pseudomonadati; Pseudomonadota; Betaproteobacteria; Burkholderiales; Comamonadaceae
Description: bacterial SSU rRNA
Rfam family: Bacterial small subunit ribosomal RNA
Source: RNAcentral
CAAGUCGAACGGCAGCACGGGAGCAAUCCUGGUGGCGAGUGGCGAACGGGUGAGUAAUAUAUCGGAACGUGCCCAGUCGUGGGGGAUAACGUAGAGAAAUUUACGCUAAUACCGCAUACGAUCUAAGGAUGAAAGCGGGGGACCGUAAGGCCUCGCGCGAUUGGAGCGGCUGAUAUCAGAUUAGGUUGUUGGUGAGGUAAAAGCUCACCAAGCCGACGAUCUGUAGCUGGUUUGAGAGAACGACCAGCCACACUGGGACUGAGACACGGCCCAGACUCCUACGGGAGGCAGCAGUGGGGAAUUUUGGACAAUGGGCGAAAGCCUGAUCCAGCAAUGCCGCGUGCAGGAAGAAGGCCUUCGGGUUGUAAACUGCUUUUGUACGGAACGAAAAGGUCUGCCUUAAUACGGCGGGCCCAUGACGGUACCGUAAGAAUAAGCACCGGCUAACUACGUGCCAGCAGCCGCGGUAAUACGUAGGGUGCGAGCGUUAAUCGGAAUUACUGGGCGUAAAGCGUGCGCAGGCGGUGAUGUAAGACAGUUGUGAAAUCCCCGGGCUCAACCUGGGAAUUGCAUCUGUGACUGCAUCGCUAGAGUACGGUAGAGGGGGAUGGAAUUCCGCGUGUAGCAGUGAAAUGCGUAGAUAUGCGGAGGAACACCGAUGGCGAAGGCAAUCCCCUGGACCUGUACUGACGCUCAUGCACGAAAGCGUGGGGAGCAAACAGGAUUAGAUAC